This 103-nucleotide small nuclear RNA is filed under the name Canis lupus familiaris (dog). RNAcentral also lists the same sequence under 1 other name. The record is from RNAcentral. Lineage: Eukaryota; Metazoa; Chordata; Mammalia; Carnivora; Canidae.
GUGCUUUGGCAGCACAUAUACUAAAAUUGGAACGAUACAGAGAAGAUUAGCAUGGCCCCUGGGCAAGGAUGACACGCAAAUCUGUGAAGAAUUCCAUAUUAAA